CUUGAUCAGUCUCGGGUGGCCGGAGGAAAUUAAUAAGAGACUGAAGACGAGGCGAGAAUAUACCGUGGCGUGGACGAUCCGCCUGCGGGUGCAAAGCAUCUAUCGGCUCGCGCAGGGGCAGGAGGGCGCGUGCGUGCGACCGCCUGUCACGUGACCUCACCACGCACCGCACGUACUUACCCUGCAUGCUGCUGCGCUAGGGUCGACGUCACCUGCCCGGCCCGGCCGUCCGGCUGGCCGGUGGAUGACGGCUAUCCUGUGGCUGUGACACGCCACGCCUUUCUCCUCUGCGGCCAGCUAGCUCUAGAUAUAUCAUCGCCGACUGCACGUCCGUCCCGUCGAGACGAAUGCUGAAUGAUUGAGACGAUCAUGAUAUUUUUUUUUCCUUCUUCCUUUUUUUUUUGCCUUUCACUAUUCCUACUUUUAGUUUUAUGAUGCAAAUUAUCCAAUCUUACCCAACGUGACAAGACUUGCUACUUUUACCAUGUGAAGUUUGUUUUAGGAUAACUAGGGGGCAUAACCCUGCUUGCACCGUUUUAAUUAAACAAGAGAAUCAGGAUACAAGGAAUACAACGGUAACAUUUGCCCUAGGAAACACGAGAGAGAAAACCUAGGCUCUCGAAACAGGCCAAAGGCAAAAGCUAUGCACAACAAGGAGCACCGAUGAUGUAGUCGAACAAU
This 681-nucleotide long non-coding RNA is filed under the name Brachypodium distachyon (stiff brome). Its description in RNAcentral is "long non-coding RNA (BDIS_LNC002533)". The record is from RNAcentral. Lineage: Eukaryota; Viridiplantae; Streptophyta; Magnoliopsida; Poales; Poaceae.